RNAcentral lists this ribosomal RNA (478 nucleotides) under uncultured bacterium. Its description in RNAcentral is "partial 16S ribosomal RNA". It matches the Rfam family "Bacterial small subunit ribosomal RNA", at positions 39 to 507 of the family's 1533-position model. The record is from RNAcentral.
GAGGAAAGAGAGAGGAAGGAGGAACACAUGAAAGUCGAGGGGUAUUUAUCUUCGGAUAGAGAGAAAGGAGAAAGGGUGAGUAAAGAGUAUGAAAUCUAAAUUUUAUAGAGGGAUAGCAAAGAGAAAUUUGGAUUAAUACCUCAUAGUAUAUAGACUCGGCAUCGAGAUUAUAUUAAAGUCACAACGGUAAAAGAUGAGCAUGCGUCCCAUUAGCUAGUUGGUAAGGUAACGGCUUACCAAGGCUACGAUGGGUAGGGGUCCUGAGAGGGAGAUCCCCCACACUGGUACUGAGACACGGACCAGACUCCUACGGGAGGCAGCAGUGAGGAAUAUUGGACAAUGGGCGCAAGCCUGAUCCAGCCAUGCCGCGUGCAGGAUGACGGUCCUAUGGAUUGUAAACUUCUUUUAUACGAGAAGAAACACUGCUACGUGUAGCAGCUUGACGGUAUCGUAAGAAUAAGGAUCGGCUCCCUCCGUU